AGUCCACGUCACGCUAUCGAAUAUAAAUCCACAAGUAAGAAGAAUGAUAAAAAGUUAAAAACGUAUCUCUGUUCCCCUCUCCCUUUCUCAUCGAUCCUUCAACAGUAGAGAUAGCCGAAGAGAUGCUGGAGUUGUUCCUUCUCGGGUGCACCGGAGUUGUGGUGUUCCUUCACGGAGCCAAUUUUUUCUUCCGAGCUCUCUAUUCGCCUUUCUCCCUCCGCCAUAUCAGUUUCUUGGGAGCUGCUGGUUGGUAGAAGGCUAGAAGCGAAGCAAGAGUAAUGCUCCAUUUGUAAAUAUACCUAUCGUGAUUUAGGGAUCAAUUCUUUCUACCACUCUUUCCAAAAGUAAAUUCACAUUGUAUAAGUUCACAAUUUUGGCAAGAGUUCUACAAAGAAUUCAUAAAUCAGUCACUUUUUUUUUAAGUUUCCUGAUUUGAUAGAUUAUGCAUUUGUUGUACAUAUAUAUAACAAUCACUACCUUCAUCAUGUUAUUCUAUUUGUCUAUGUA
Long non-coding RNA from Salvia hispanica, 507 nucleotides. RefSeq lists it as uncharacterized. The record is from RefSeq and is a predicted model, not a curated record. Lineage: Eukaryota; Viridiplantae; Streptophyta; Magnoliopsida; Lamiales; Lamiaceae.